GAUGAACGCUAGCUGCAGGCUUAACACGUGCAAGUCGAGGGGAAACGACAUCGAAAGCUUGCUUUUGAUGGGCGUCGACCGGCGCACGGGUGAGUAACGCGUAUCCAACCUGCCCAUCACUUGGGAAUAACCUUGCGAAAGUAAGACUAAUACCCAAUGAUAUCCCACGAAGGCAUCGGAAUGGGAUUAAAGAUUUAUCGGUGAUGGAUGGGGAUGCGUCUGAUUAGCUUGUUGGCGGGGUAACGGCCCACCAAGGCAACGAUCAGUAGGGGUUCUGAGAGGAAGGUCCCCCACAUUGGAACUGAGACACGGUCCAAACUCCUACGGGAGGCAGCAGUGAGGAAUAUUGGUCAAUGGGCGAGAGCCUGAACCAGCCAAGUAGCGUGCAGGAAGACGGCCCUAUGGGUUGUAAACUGCUUUUAUAAGGGAAUAAAGUGGGUCACGUGUGACUUUUUGCAUGUACCUUAUGAAUAAGGACCGGCUAAUUCCGUG
RNAcentral lists this ribosomal RNA (492 nucleotides) under uncultured bacterium. RNAcentral describes it as "partial 16S ribosomal RNA". It matches the Rfam family "Bacterial small subunit ribosomal RNA", at positions 28 to 507 of the family's 1533-position model. The record is from RNAcentral.